This 497-nucleotide ribosomal RNA is filed under the name uncultured bacterium. RNAcentral describes it as "partial 16S ribosomal RNA". It matches the Rfam family "Bacterial small subunit ribosomal RNA", at positions 28 to 507 of the family's 1533-position model. The record is from RNAcentral.
GAUGAACGCUGGCGGCGUGCCUAAUACAUGCAAGUCGAGCGAACAGACGAGGAGCUUGCUCCUCUGACGUUAGCGGCGGACGGGUGAGUAACACGUGGAUAACCUACCUAUAAGACUGGGAUAACUUCGGGAAACCGGAGCUAAUACCGGAUAAUAUAUUGAACCGCAUGGUUCAAUAGUGAAAGACGGUUUUGCUGUCACUUAUAGAUGGAUCCGCGCCGCAUUAGCUAGUUGGUAAGGUAACGGCUUACCAAGGCAACGAUGCGUAGCCGACCUGAGAGGGUGAUCGGCACCACUGGAAGUGGGCAACGGUCCAGACUCCUACGGGAGGAAGCAGUAGGGAAUCUUCCGCAAUGGGCGAAAGCUUGACGGAGCAACGCCGAGUGAGUGAUGAAGGUCUUCGGAUCGUAAAACUCUGUUAUUAGGGAAGAACAAAUGUGUAAGUAAAUAUGCACGUCUUGACGGUACCUAAUCAGAAAGCCACGGCUAACUACGUG